RNAcentral lists this small nuclear RNA (107 nucleotides) under Microtus ochrogaster (prairie vole). Lineage: Eukaryota; Metazoa; Chordata; Mammalia; Rodentia; Cricetidae. The record is from RNAcentral.
GUGCUCGCUUCGGCAGCACAUAUACUAAAAUUGGAACGAUACAGAGAAGAUUAGCAUGGCCCCUGCACAAGGAUGACACGCAAAUUCAUGAAGUGUUUCAUAAUUUU